CCUACGGGAGGCAGCAGUGGGGAAUAUUGCACAAUGGGGGAAACCCUGAUGCAGCGACGCCGCGUGAGUGAAGAAGUAUUUCGGUAUGUAAAGCUCUAUCAGCCGGGAAGAUAAUGACGGUACCUGACUACGAAGCCCCGGCUAACUACGUGCCAGCAGCCGCGGUCAUACGUAGGGCGCAAGCGUUAUCCGGAUUUACUGGGGGUAAAGGGUGCGUAGGUGGCAGGGCAAGUGAGAUGUGAAAGCCCGGGGGUCAACCCCGGUACUGCAUUUGAAACUGUCCAGCUGGAGUGCAGGAGAGGUAAGCGGAAUUCCUAGUGUAGCGGUGAAAUGCGUAGAUAUUAGGAGGAACACCAGUGGCGAAGGCGGCUUACUGGACUGGAACUGACACUGAGGCACGAAAGCGUGGGGAGCAAACAGGAUUAGAUACCCCUGUAGUC
RNAcentral lists this ribosomal RNA (440 nucleotides) under uncultured bacterium. RNAcentral describes it as "partial 16S ribosomal RNA". It matches the Rfam family "Bacterial small subunit ribosomal RNA", at positions 338 to 795 of the family's 1533-position model. The record is from RNAcentral.